Molecule: ribosomal RNA, 1501 nt
Filed under: Staphylococcus pseudintermedius
Lineage: Bacteria; Bacillati; Bacillota; Bacilli; Caryophanales; Staphylococcaceae
Description: partial 23S ribosomal RNA
Rfam family: Bacterial large subunit ribosomal RNA
Source: RNAcentral
GAGAAUCCCGUCCACCGAUUGACUAAGGUUUCCAGAGGAAGGCUCGUCCGCUCUGGGUUAGUCGGGUCCUAAGCUGAGGCCGACAGGCGUAGGCGAUGGAUAACAGGUUGAUAUUCCUGUACCACCAUUAUUCGUUUUAAGCGAUGGGGGGACGCAGUAGGAUAGGCGAAGCGUGCUGUUGGAGUGCACGUCCAAGCAGUGAGAUUGAGUGUUAGGCAAAUCCGGCACUCUUAAGAUUGAGCUGUGAUGGGGAGAGGAACUUGUUCCUCGAGUCGUUGAUUUCACACUGCCGAGAAAAGCCUCUAGCUAGAAUAACGGUGCCCGUACCGCAAACCGACACAGGUAGUCAAGAUGAGAAUUCUAAGGUGAGCGAGCGAACUCUCGUUAAGGAACUCGGCAAAAUGACCCCGUAACUUCGGGAGAAGGGGUGCUCUUUGAGGUUCACGCUUCGAAGAGCCGCAGUGAAUAGGCCCAAGCGACUGUUUAUCAAAAACACAGGUCUCUGCUAAACCGUAAGGUGACGUAUAGGGGCUGACGCCUGCCCGGUGCUGGAAGGUUAAGAGGAGUGGUUAGCGCAAGCGAAGCUACGAAUCGAAGCCCCAGUAAACGGCGGCCGUAACUAUAACGGUCCUAAGGUAGCGAAAUUCCUUGUCGGGUAAGUUCCGACCCGCACGAAAGGCGUAACGAUUUGGGCACUGUCUCAACGAGAGACUCGGUGAAAUCAUAGUACCGGUGAAGAUGCCGGUUACCCGCGACAGGACGGAAAGACCCCGUGGAGCUUUACUGUAGCCUGAUAUUGAAAUUCGGUACAGUUUGUACAGGAUAGGUAGGAGCCUUAGAAGCGUGAGCGCUAGCUUACGUGGAGGCAUUGGUGGGAUACUACCCUAAUUGUAUUGGAUUUCUAACCCGCAGCACUUAUCGUGCUGGGAGACAGUGUCAGGCGGGCAGUUUGACUGGGGCGGUCGCCUCCUAAAGAGUAACGGAGGCGCUCAAAGGUUCCCUCAGAAUGGUUGGAAAUCAUUCAUAGAGUGUAAAGGCAUAAGGGAGCUUGACUGCGAGACCUACAAGUCGAGCAGGGUCGAAAGACGGACUUAGUGAUCCGGUGGUUCCGCAUGGAAGGGCCAUCGCUCAACGGAUAAAAGCUACCCCGGGGAUAACAGGCUUAUCUCCCCCAAGAGUUCACAUCGACGGGGAGGUUUGGCACCUCGAUGUCGGCUCAUCGCAUCCUGGGGCUGUAGUCGGUCCCAAGGGUUGGGCUGUUCGCCCAUUAAAGCGGUACGCGAGCUGGGUUCAGAACGUCGUGAGACAGUUCGGUCCCUAUCCGUCGUGGGCGUAGGAAAUUUGAGAGGAGCUGUCCUUAGUACGAGAGGACCGGGAUGGACAUACCUCUGGUGUACCAGUUGUCGUGCCAACGGCAUAGCUGGGUAGCUAUGUAUGGACGGGAUAAGUGCUGAAAGCAUCUAAGCAUGAAGCCCCCCUCGAGAUGAGAUUUCCCAACUUC